This is a long non-coding RNA of Pseudophryne corroboree (corroboree frog), 757 nucleotides long. RefSeq lists it as uncharacterized. The transcript has 2 exons. Lineage: Eukaryota; Metazoa; Chordata; Amphibia; Anura; Myobatrachidae. The record is from RefSeq and is a predicted model, not a curated record.
CCGGCCACGAUACCGCCCUCCGUAAUGAUUAUUACCAUACAUGUCCUCAGUGCAGGAGGCCGGCGGCCAUUUUCUUGUAGUCCCGUCAGGUAGCUAAAGCAACAAUAGGAUUCCUGACCGUGUAGUGACGUCAGGAGCGGCGGCCAUGUUCCCCAGGUCUGAGGCUCUGAGCUCCGUCUUCUUUCUGUCAUCCCCACAAGGCAGCAGGAGCAGAGAGCAGCCAUUGCUGUGUCUGGCAGCAGUGCUGGACUUUACGAACCUCCAUGUGAUAAAAUGGAUACUAUAAUAAUGGAGUGCGCCGUGGUGGAUUUGUGUUAAAUUCAAGUAGAAGAAACGGGCCUUGGAACGCACGGUGACCACUUCCGACGAAAUGGAACGCAAACCGGCACGUGACUUCCGGCUUCGACACGCAUGCGCAGUCCGCGACCGUCGCUGAUCAGCGGUAAACGGACACAUCUGUUACCGCUUACAUUGGGGGGAUAUAAGGACAGUUCUGUUAGUGCAAGACACGCUACUGAGGAAGGACAUUGAGUCUGAAACGCGUCUAGCGUAUCUUGAACGAUUUCCCUGUCUGGCUGAACUUGUGGUUGUGCUGCCGUACCUUAAACACAAUCCGGAAGUAAGUUAUGGUGUAUUCUUUGGAACAUUUUGGAUAUCGGGAGCUGCCUAUGCUGUUUGCUACUGAGGGACCUAUCAUGCUGUGUUUUUAACACUUGUUUGUAAGUGCAUAUCUGUAUUAAACCAGUGUUUGUUUUCA